GUCCAGACUCCUACGGGAGGCAGCAGUGGGGAAUAUUGCACAAUGGGGGAAACCCUGAUGCAGCGACGCCGCGUGAGUGAAGAAGUAUUUCGGUAUGUAAAGCUCUCUCAGCAGGGAAGAAAAUGACGGUACCUGACUAAGAAGCCCCGGCUAACUACGUGCCAGCAGCCGCGGUAAUACGUAGGGGGCAAGCGUUAUCCGGAUUUACUGGGUGUAAAGGGAGCGUAGACGGCAUGGCAAGUCAGAUGUGAAAGCCCGGGGCUCAACCCCGGGACUGCAUUUGAAACUGUCAGGCUGGAGUGCAGGAGAGGUAAGUGGAAUUCCUAGUGUAGCGGUGAAAUGCGUAGAUAUUAGGAGGGACACCAGUGGCGAAGGCGGCUUACUGGACUGUAACUGACGUUGAGGCUCGAAAGCGUGGGGAGCAAACAGGAUUAGAUACCCCAGUA
RNAcentral lists this ribosomal RNA (446 nucleotides) under uncultured bacterium. Its description in RNAcentral is "bacterial SSU rRNA". It matches the Rfam family "Bacterial small subunit ribosomal RNA", at positions 329 to 792 of the family's 1533-position model. The record is from RNAcentral.